UACAGGGGGGGCAAGCGUUGUUCGGAAUUACUGGGCGUAAAGGGCUUGUAGGUGGCCGACUAAGUCCGACGUGAAAUCCCCAGGCUUAACCUGGGAACUGCGUCGGAUACUGGUUGGCUUGAAUCCGGGAGAGGGAUGCGGAAUUCCAGGUGUAGCGGUGAAAUGCGUAGAUAUCAGGAGGAACACCUGUGGCGAAAGCGGCUCACUGGACCACAACUGACGCUGAUGCACGAAAGCUAGGGGAGCAAACAGG
Molecule: ribosomal RNA, 253 nt
Filed under: uncultured bacterium
Lineage: Bacteria
Description: partial 16S ribosomal RNA
Rfam family: Bacterial small subunit ribosomal RNA
Source: RNAcentral